Haliotis rubra (blacklip abalone) is the source of this 125-nucleotide long non-coding RNA. RefSeq lists it as uncharacterized. The record is from RefSeq and is a predicted model, not a curated record. NCBI's taxonomy places the organism in Eukaryota, Metazoa, Mollusca, Gastropoda, Lepetellida, Haliotidae. The transcript is spliced from 3 exons.
GUUUUUGCUAGCCUGAUUGGAGCCCUUUAUACUCAUGUUUUGAUAGAACAUACUUUUUAAUGAGUUUGAGAAGAAAGAGAGCAAGUCAGCAAUUAGGUGGGAGUGAAAGUGUUCCCUGUUGUUAU